This 259-nucleotide ribosomal RNA is filed under the name uncultured bacterium. RNAcentral's name for it is "partial 16S ribosomal RNA". It matches the Rfam family "Bacterial small subunit ribosomal RNA", at positions 793 to 1055 of the family's 1533-position model. The record is from RNAcentral.
GUCCACGCCCUAAACGAUGUCGACUGGUUGUUGGGUUUGACACUCUCAGUAACGAAGCUAACGCGUGAAGUCGACCGCCUGGGGAGUACGGCCGCAAGGUUAAACUCAAAGGAAUUGACGGGACCCGCACAAGCGGUGGAUUAUGUGGAUUAAUUCGAUGCAACGCGAAACCUUACCUACCCUUGACAUGUCCUGGAGCCCGGAGAGAUCCGGGUGUGCCCGAAAGGGAACGGGAACACAGGUGCUGCAUGGCUGUCGU